Molecule: long non-coding RNA, 1717 nt
Organism: Lynx canadensis (Canada lynx)
Lineage: Eukaryota; Metazoa; Chordata; Mammalia; Carnivora; Felidae
Exons: 2
Source: RefSeq, a predicted model, not a curated record
GUGCAGAGGGGUCAGUCCGAAGCUUAGUGUCCAUUUCGUCACUUCGUCUCUAGGCACCUUCUCUUCCCCGCUCCGCGCCCCCCCCCCCCCCGGAACUCACUUCCCCGGCUGCUCAUUGGACACAGUCGCAUGGCACCUGCUCCCCUUCUGUCACGUGAUGAGCUGCUCUCUCUCCACACGUGAUGCCGUAGCCUUUCCUUCCACCCGUCCCUUCUUGGUCCUUCAACCAUGCAGAUCCCCGGCCCUGGCUUCCCAACCCGAGUGACCUGCCACCGUGCAGACAGAGCGCUCUUUAGAUUAAGCUCACUGCGGAUUUGUGGUCUGCUUCGAAGGGGCUCUCGGUAGUACUUGGCGAUCCCCUCUCAUCCUGGCCAUCUUGCCCUUUGUCCCCACCUUUGCUAGACCCCUUGUCUCCUGUCCAGUAGAAGACAGGGGAGAACGUGCCACGCCCAGGAAACCACCUCUCCUCCCCUGCCCUUCUCCAACCCGUGAAGUGACUUACCUCCACGCUCGCUCGUCCUCUACCCUUCUCUUGCAGUCUUGGAAGAAGGGAGGUCUUUCUUCCUGUCUGCAACCAAGCCCUCCCUCCCACCUUGGACUCACCCCUCGAGUCUUCAGACUCGCGCCACCGAUCACCCUGGAAGUUCCACUUUGUUCGCCCUACACUCUGCAAUCCCCCCGGACGCCUAGGCUCCUUGUGAGGCUGUCAGUACUUUUCAUCCACAGCGUCCCGCCUCUAAAUCUUCAGCCGACUGACUUUGCCCCGUCUCAGGCGAGGAUGAAUUCACCUGGGGUGCUGGGGCCUCCUCCCUUGGGAGCACCGCUCCCCCCACAUCUCCACUGUGUCGGCUCACCGGUGUUGGUGUCCCACACCCGCUGGUUGCCGAAGCCAGAAACCAAGGAAUCCUCUCAGCUGGCCCCACUGUCCCAGCACGCCACAUUUCUUCUGCCGGGAAGUGCAACGUGGAACCAGUCCUGUGGCCCGGGCCACCAGCCCUUGCCUCCUUUCUGACCUUUGGAAAUCUUAAAUGCCAAACCAUUGCUCAUGGGAGAAACUAGGAAGGCAAAGGCCAUCUUGUCUGCUCACUAUGACUUAAUUUUCUGGAAGAUUCAAGGUCAUCGUUGGCAAUCAAUUGCUGAAUAAGUGUGCUGUGCUCUUAGAGGCACUUCCUGGCUCAUUUCCUGGUCCGUGGUUGCCUUUGCUGUGAGCACUUGAUUGUCCUUGUACCUGAAGUUCACAGUCCUACUUAGUAUAUACGCUUCUAACCUGCUCUGGUCUGAGAAGUUCGAGGUUCUUGAAAGGAAUGUAAAGACAAGUCAGCAAGUCCCCAGUGAGUGAGGUUUCUCCCAUAGAGUUAAUCCUUUGGCUCUCUGUUAGCUAUUUCACUUGGCAUGGAGGCCAUUUGUUCCUGAUCUGUACUUUGUCCGUGUUCCUGAAUUGCUGACUUUUAAAUAGGAACUGAUUUUUAUUUAUGUGAUACCUUUCCUAUUAUCACAUUUAAAUUUCUUGUGAAAAAUUAAAAGUACAUUGGUAGCAUAUAUUCAUUUUAGAUUUUCUACUUUGGGAUAUGGUCUUUCUCCCACUUCUAGGCUUAAUUCAUGCCAAGGAAACCCUCAUCAGGUGAAUGUAAUUAUCAUAGAUUCGAUGCAGAAAACUUCUUUGUGAUUUUGAGCCCCCAAGUUAGCAACCAUUAUAAUAAAACUACAUCAGGUCUGC